This 466-nucleotide ribosomal RNA is filed under the name uncultured bacterium. RNAcentral's name for it is "bacterial SSU rRNA". It matches the Rfam family "Bacterial small subunit ribosomal RNA", at positions 28 to 507 of the family's 1533-position model. The record is from RNAcentral.
GAUGAACGCUAGCGACAGGCUUAACACAUGCAAGUCGAGGGGCAGCAUGAUUUGUAGCAAUACAGAUUGAUGGCGACCGGCGCACGGGUGAGUAACGCGUAUGCAACUUACCUAUCAGGAGGGGGAUAGCCCGGCGAAAGUCGGAUUAAUACCCCAUAAAACAGGGGUCCCGCAUGGGAAUAUUGUUAAAGAUUCAUCGAUGGGGAUGCGUUCCAUUAGGUUGUUGGCGGGGUAACGGCCCACCAAGCCUUCGAUGGAUAGGGGUUCUGAGAGGAAGGUCCCCCACAUUGGAACUGAGACACGGCCCAAACUCCUACGGGAGGCAGCAGUGGGGAAUAUUGCACAAUGGGGGAAACCCUGAUGCAGCGACGCCGCGUGAGUGAAGAAGUAUUUCGGUAUGUAAAGCUCUAUCAGCAGGGAAGAAGAAAUGACGGUACCUGACUAAGAAGCCCCGGCUAACUACGUG